This 1525-nucleotide ribosomal RNA is filed under the name metagenome. Its description in RNAcentral is "bacterial LSU rRNA". It matches the Rfam family "Bacterial large subunit ribosomal RNA", at positions 1381 to 2925 of the family's 2925-position model. The record is from RNAcentral.
AAGUCGGGGCCUAAGGAGAGGUCGAAAGACGUAUCCGAUGGACAACAGGUUUAGAUUCCCGUACCACAUAUAAACAGAACUGUGGGGACGCAUGUGGAAAGCAUAAGCCGGGAAUGGAAAUACCGGUACAAACGGAAGAGGUGUCAGGCUGGCAAAUCCGCCUGGCAAGCCAAAGACGUGAUGUGGAGCGAAAUAAAAGUAGCGAAGUAUGUGAGCCAUGUGCCGAGAAAAGCCGCUAUUGUUUUAUAUGUGCCCGUACCGUAAACCGACACAGGUGGAUGAGGAGAGAAUCCUAAGGCCGACGGAAGAAGCAUUGUUAAGGAACUCGGCAAAAUGACCCCGUAACUUCGGGAGAAGGGGUGCCCACUUCAGGGUGGGCCUCAGAGAAUAGGCUCAAGCAACUGUUUAGCAAAAACACAGGUCUAUGCGAAACCGUAAGGUGAAGUAUAUGGGCUGACGCCUGCCCGGUGCUGGAAGGUUAAGAGGAGAGGUUAGUCGCAAGAUGAAGCUUUGAAUUUAAGCCCCAGUAAACGGCGGCCGUAACAAUAACGGUCCUAAGGUAGCGAAAUUCCUUGUCGGAUAAGUUCCGACCCGCACGAAAGGCGUAAUGAUUUGAGCACUGUCUCGACAAUGCAUCCGGUGAAAUUGAAGUACCAGUGAAGAUGCUGGUUACCCGCGCCAGGACGGAAAGACCCCAUGGAGCUUUACUCCAGUUUGGUACUGGGAUUCGGUACUGCAUGUACAGGAUAGGUGGGAGACUGAGAAAUUGGAACGCCAGUUUCAAUGGAGUCACUGUUGGGAUACCACCCCUGCAGUAUUGGGUUUCUAACCAGCCGCUGUGAUCCAGCGGUGGGACAAUGCCAGGCGGGGAGUUUGACUGGGGCGGUCGCCUCCGAAAGGGUAUCGGAGGCGCUCAAAGGUUCCCUCAGAAUGGUCGGAAACCAUUUUAAGAGUGCAAAGGCAGAAGGGAGCUUGACUGCGACACCGACGGGUGGAGCAGGUACGAAAGUAGGACUUAGUGAUCCGGUGGCAUAAAGUGGGAUUGCCAUCGCUCAACGGAUAAAAGCUACCCUGGGAUAACAGGCUUAUCACUCCCAAGAGUUCACAUCGACGGAGUGGUUUGGCACCUCGAUGUCGGCUCAUCGCAUCCUGGGGCUGUAGCAGGUCCCAAGGGUUGGGCUGUUCGCCCAUUAAAGCGGUACGCGAGCUGGGUUCAGAACGUCGUGAGACAGUUCGGUCCCUAUCCGGCGCGGGCGGAGGAUAUUUGAGAGGAGCUGUCCUUAGUACGAGAGGACCGGGAUGGACGGACCACUGGUGUAUCUGCUGUCGACCAACGGCAUGGCAGAGUAGCCAAGUCCGGAAGGGAUAAACGCUGAAGGCAUCUAAGCGUGAAGCCCCCCUCAAGAUGAGAUAUCCCUCACAUAAGUGAGUAAGAUCCCUUGAAGAGUACAAGGUAGAUAGGGCAGAGGUGGAAGCAUGGUAACAUGUGGAGCUGACUGUUACUAAUCGAUCGAGGGCUUGACCG